AUCGCUUCUCGGCCGUUUGGCUAAGAUCAAGUGUAGUAUCUGUUCUUAUCAGUUUAAUAUCUGAUACGUCCCCUACACGGGGAUUAUAUAUUAAAUAGAUUUUUGGAACAGGGAGAUGGAAUAGGGGCUUGCUCCGCCCACUCCACGCAUCGACCUGGUAUUGCAGUAUCUCCAGGAACGGUGCACUCCCU
Molecule: small nuclear RNA, 191 nt
Filed under: Echeneis naucrates (live sharksucker)
Lineage: Eukaryota; Metazoa; Chordata; Actinopteri; Carangiformes; Echeneidae
Description: U2 spliceosomal RNA (ENSENLG00000008284.1)
Rfam family: U2 spliceosomal RNA
About the family: U2 is a small nuclear RNA (snRNA) component of the spliceosome (involved in pre-mRNA splicing). Complementary binding between U2 snRNA (in an area lying towards the 5' end but 3' to hairpin I) and the branchpoint sequence (BPS) of the intron results the bulging out of an unpaired adenosine, on the BPS, which initiates a nucleophilic attack at the intronic 5' splice site, thus starting the first of two transesterification reactions that mediate splicing.
Source: Rfam by way of RNAcentral